Molecule: long non-coding RNA, 171 nt
Organism: Panthera uncia (snow leopard)
Lineage: Eukaryota; Metazoa; Chordata; Mammalia; Carnivora; Felidae
Exons: 3
Source: RefSeq, a predicted model, not a curated record
GGCUGGAUGUUAGCAGACUAGGGACCUGCCCUACCCUUGGACUUCUUGUUAGGUAAAGGGUCACAAGGCCUCCAUAAAUGAAUGAAGUGUACCAGGUGGGCAUCUUCCAAUCCACUGAGGACCUGAAUAGAAGAAAAAGGCAGUGGAGGAAAGAAUUCAGUCCCUUCCUGC